CGGAGUGUAGCUCAGCCUGGUAGAGCACUGCGUUCGGGACGCAGGGGUCGAAGGUUCAAAUCCUUUCACUCCGACCA
RNAcentral lists this transfer RNA (77 nucleotides) under Gammaproteobacteria bacterium. RNAcentral's name for it is "tRNA-Pro". It matches the Rfam family "tRNA". From Rfam's summary of the family: Transfer RNA (tRNA) molecules are approximately 80 nucleotides in length. Lineage: Bacteria; Pseudomonadati; Pseudomonadota; Gammaproteobacteria. The record is from RNAcentral. RNAcentral also lists the same sequence under 2 other names.